GGCCUUUCAUUUUUCACGAUCGGUCCCUAUAUCUGUUUCGUCGGCUCGACCGACUAUGGCGAUAAACAGGCGAUGAAAUAAGCCGUUCGGACCCGGGGGCGGUACCCGGCGCCUCCACCAAAAACCGCUCUGCGAAGAGCGGCUUUUGCUGGGGGCGAAAUAGGAUCGACGAAGGUGUAAAGAUCGUACUUUUGCCCGGCAUUGUACCACCG
This 212-nucleotide transfer-messenger RNA is filed under the name Mesorhizobium sp. RNAcentral's name for it is "partial transfer-messenger RNA". It matches the Rfam family "Alphaproteobacteria transfer-messenger RNA", at positions 1 to 209 of the family's 355-position model. From Rfam's summary of the family: Bacterial tmRNA, also known as 10Sa RNA or SsrA, is named for its dual tRNA and mRNA-like properties. Its role is to liberate the mRNA from a stalled ribosome. The record is from RNAcentral. Lineage: Bacteria; Pseudomonadati; Pseudomonadota; Alphaproteobacteria; Hyphomicrobiales; Phyllobacteriaceae.